Molecule: non-coding RNA, 76 nt
Organism: Schistocerca cancellata (South American locust)
Lineage: Eukaryota; Metazoa; Arthropoda; Insecta; Orthoptera; Acrididae
Source: the annotation of a RefSeq genome assembly
GCCCGAGUGGCCGAGCGGUUAAAGGCGCCUACAGUCUGGAACGCUACGGUCGCAGGUUCGAAUCCUGCCUCGGGCA